This is a long non-coding RNA of Drosophila persimilis, 292 nucleotides long. RefSeq lists it as uncharacterized. The record is from RefSeq and is a predicted model, not a curated record. NCBI's taxonomy places the organism in Eukaryota, Metazoa, Arthropoda, Insecta, Diptera, Drosophilidae. The transcript is spliced from 2 exons.
CCAACGGGAAAUAAUGUCAGCAACCCCGCCUUCAUAAGCUGCCGAAUCAAACGCCGUAUAUAAUUGAAGCUGUCGCACGCCUAGAUCAGACCACAAAUAAUGAAGAAAUCAAAAUAUGUUUGCAUCAUGAAAUUUGCCAAAAAUCGGCCUAAUUUUCAUAGGCUGUUCGACAGUCUGGACCCUCACGAUCCUGGGAGAGUUGGUCCUUCAACAAUCGUCCCAUAAAUAGUCGAGAUGUAGCCUUUUGAAGAUUUCGAUUUUGCAUUUCAUUAGAGUACUGGUUUUUUCUGAA